RNAcentral lists this ribosomal RNA (616 nucleotides) under uncultured bacterium. RNAcentral describes it as "bacterial SSU rRNA". It matches the Rfam family "Bacterial small subunit ribosomal RNA", at positions 226 to 839 of the family's 1533-position model. The record is from RNAcentral.
UGGGGAUGCGUCCGAUUAGCUUGUUGGCGGGGUAACGGCCCACCAAGGCAUCGAUCGGUAGGGGUUCUGAGAGGAAGGUCCCCCACACUGGAACUGAGACACGGUCCAGACUCCUACGGGAGGCAGCAGUGAGGAAUAUUGGUCAAUGGCCGUAAGGCUGAACCAGCCAAGUAGCGUGAGGGAAGACUGCCCUAUGGGUUGUAAACCUCUUUUAUGCGGGGAUAAAGGUGUCCACGUGUGGAUGUUUGCAGGUACCGCAUGAAUAAGGACCGGCUAAUUCCGUGCCAGCAGCCGCGGUAAUACGGAAGGUCCGGGCGUUAUCCGGAUUUAUUGGGUUUAAAGGGAGCGUAGGCCGGUCUUUAAGCGUGCCGUGAAAUUUUGUGGCUCAACCAUGAGAGUGCGGCGCGAACUGGAGACCUUGAGUGCGCGGAAGGCAGGCGGAAUUCGUGGUGUAGCGGUGAAAUGCUUAGAUAUCACGAAGAACCCCGAUUGCGAAGGCAGCCUGCCGCAGCGUUACUGACGCUGAAGCUCGAAAGCGCGGGUAUCGAACAGGAUUAGAUACCCUGGUAGUCCGCGCGGUAAACGAUGGAUGCCCGCUGUCGGCGAUAUACAGUCG